UCUCUACCAAUUAGCCUUACCAAGCCGGGCUCCUUCUAUCUCGUGUUAGAGCUUGGUAACGACGGCCACACAAUGACAAGGUUGGCAAUUAACAACUCUCUUCUUCGUGGCAUGGCUGUUUCACAGUUAGAUUGAUGCUGCUGGUACUUAUAUAUUCUCAAGCUCUAACUGGGUUGUGUAGUGGAAGUGUUACAGCCACGCUAAUUCAUAAUUUGACAUGGUACGGUCGAUUCAUGUUCUCAGCUUAUAUGUAUGGUACUUUUGUAGUAUGUGGUUGAUGGAGGAAGCACGGGGAGGAGCAAAAACAAAUGGUGAUGGAGGAGGAAAAACAAAUGGCGAUCUCCAUGUAUGACUGUUUCUACAAGCUUAGAUUCAGCGGUUGGUUGUUGUGCAUUUGCAUGGUGUCCGCCUGAUCGAGAGGUUGCGAUAUAAUUUGUCAACCAAUGAAUUCUUAUAUAUUUAGUGGAGGAAGCACGGGGAGGAGCAACAACAAAUGGUGAUGGAGGAGGAAAAACAAAUGGCGAUCUCCAUGUAUGACUGUUUCUACAAGCUUAGAUUCAGCGGUUGGUUGUUCUGCAUUUGCAUGGUGUCCGCCUGAUCGAGAGGUUGCGAUAUAAUUUGUCAACCAAUGAAUUCUUAUAUAUUUGAUCUUCUCAUUAUGGUGUUCAUUUCCAUGUGCAGAAAUAGAUAGCAUCAUGCUUUAUAAUAGAUUUCUUAGGUCUGCUCUGUACCAAGAAAUACCUGUAGGAAUUACUCCCUCCGUUCCGAAAUAUUUGUCUUUCUAGACAUUUCAAAUGACUACUACAUACGGAUGUAUGUAGACAUAUUUUAGAAUGUAGAUUCACUCAUUUUGCUCUGUAUGUAGUCACUUGUUGAAAUGCCUAGAAAGACAAAUAUUUAGGAACGGAGGGAGUAAUAUAGCUAUGUGCAUAUAAGCUUCAGUAAUUUGCUGCGUAUUAACCUCAGUCACAUAUUCUUUAUGUUCAGUGUGCUUGAUAUUUUUGUUCCUUGUUGUUUCUUUCCGACAGGUACAAGGGGCUCAUUGGUCGCUUGGCCUGCUUUUGGUAUAUCAAUGAGGAU
Molecule: long non-coding RNA, 1080 nt
Filed under: Triticum aestivum (bread wheat)
Lineage: Eukaryota; Viridiplantae; Streptophyta; Magnoliopsida; Poales; Poaceae
Description: long non-coding RNA (TAES_LNC006473)
Source: RNAcentral